Acipenser ruthenus (sterlet) is the source of this 994-nucleotide long non-coding RNA. RefSeq lists it as uncharacterized. The record is from RefSeq and is a predicted model, not a curated record. NCBI's taxonomy places the organism in Eukaryota, Metazoa, Chordata, Actinopteri, Acipenseriformes, Acipenseridae. The transcript has 3 exons.
GUGUUGUAUUUAAUUAACAUGAAAGCUUGCCCUGCCAUAAUGUGCCUUUAUGUUUGAUCUUCUUUUUUCUUGUAAGAUUGAAACACAGCUAAGAUGGAUCUUCUGUAUUUUCCAGUAUUUCAAGAAAAUGCUUAUGAAGAUAAAUGACAAUGAAGCAAAUGAAUAUGCUUUGUUUAUCAGCCUUACCUACCGAAAAAAAGUUCUCGGUAAUGUUUUCAUCAAAGCCUCUUCCCUUGUGCGUCACAGCAGAGACAGUAUGGAAAUGUUCUGCGCGGCUUGUAAACCUGUCAAACAACACACACCUUGGAGCUGGAUAAUUCAACCAAACUGCUGUCUGUGGAGCGGUAAGGUACUCUAAUUAUGCAGACCCAGGAUUGUUGAGUAAUGGUGCUUUGCUCUGCUUUAUGUGUCAAUUCCCUGCAAACUACAUUUCUUAUCCUUGUGUAUUAGUUGCAAACAUCAAAGGCAGCUGUCUCAGUGUGGGAAACGCAUACAACUGAACAAGACACGAGAAAGAAAGCUCACCUUAGUGGAUGCAUCAAGAACAGGUGCUGCUGCUUAUGAAGUGCCAGCAGUGUAUUCAUACUUCAAUCGUUCAUUGUUUCUUUACACAGUGAAAGAGAGUGUCUCUAUAAGCACAGUCACUGCGUUGUUAGUUUUAGUACAGCCAUUUAAUGAUUCUCAAUUAAGUUGUGCAUCGAUGUGAAAAGCUUGGGCUUUGCUGCAAAAAGGCAUGUGUGCCACAGCCCUCAUGUUCACAUUUUACUGAGAUCCAAAUUCACUGAAUAAUAAUCUAGUGGUACAGCUGUGACUUUUAGUGCAACAAUUGUGCAGUAAUUCUACACGUACUAUACCUUUUACCACUAAAAGCUCAAAAAAUAUCCAUAUAUUCUGUAAUGUGAUAUUUUAUAAUGCGAUAACUUGUAAUCAAUAUUUUAUAAUGUGAUACUUUGUAUUGUGAUAUUUUGUAACAAUUGUCGCUCUGGAUAAGGAU